AGGCGACCGCGUGACCAUGCAAGUCGAACGGUAACAGAAAGCAGCUUGCUGCUUUGCUGACGAGUGGCGGACGGGAGAGUAAUGUCUGGGAAACUGCCCGAUGGAGGGGGAUAACUACUGGAAACGGUAGCUAAUACCGCAUAACGUCGCAAGACCAAAGAGGGGGACCUUCGGGCCUCUUGCCAUCGGAUGUGCCCAGAUGGGAUUAGCUAGUAGGUGGGGUAAAGGCUCACCUAGGCGACGAUCCCUAGCUGGUCUGAGAGGAUGACCAGCCACACUGGAACUGAGACACGGUCCAGACUCCUACGGGAGGCAGCAGUGGGGAAUAUUGCACAAUGGGCGCAAGCCUGAUGCAGCCAUGCCGCGUGUAUGAAGAAGGCCUUCGGGUUGUAAAGUACUUUCAGCGGGGAGGAAGGGAGUAAAGUUAAUACCUUUGCUCAUUGACGUUACCCGCAGAAGAAGCACCGGCUAACUCCGUGCCAGCAGCCGCGGUAAUACGGAGGGUGCAAGCGUUAAUCGGAAUUACUGGGCGUAAAGCGCACGCAGGCGGUUUGUUAAGUCAGAUGUGAAAUCCCCGGGCUCAACCUGGGAACUGCAUCUGAUACUGGCAAGCUUGAGUCUCGUAGAGGGGGGUAGAAUUCCAGGUGUAGCGGUGAAAUGCGUAGAGAUCUGGAGGAAUACCGGUGGCGAAGGCGGCCCCCUGGACGAAGACUGACGCUCAGGUGCGAAAGCGUGGGGAGCAAACAGGAUUAGAUACCCUGGUAGUCCACGCCGUAAACGAUGUCGACUUGGAGGUUGUGCCCUUGAGGCGUGGCUUCCGGAGCUAACGCGUUAAGUCGACCGCCUGGGGAGUACGGCCCGCAAGGUUAAAACUCAAAUGAAUUGACGGGGGCCCGCACAAGCGGUGGAGCAUGUGGUUUAAUUCGAUGCAACGCGAAGAACCUUACCUGGUCUUGACAUCCACGGAAGUUUUCAGAGAUGAGAAUGUGCCUUCGGGAACCGUGAGACAGGUGCUGCAUGGCUGUCGUCAGCUCGUGUUGUGAAAUGUUGGGUUAAGUCCCGCMACGAGCGCAACCCUUAUCCUUUGUUGCCAGCGGUCCGGCCGGGAACUCAARGRAGACUGCCAGUGAUAMACUGGAGGARKGKGGRKRWSRSKYMARKYMWYMWKGGCCCUUACGAACCAGGGCYWMMCMMSWSYKACAAUGGCGCAUACAAAGAGAAGCGACCUCGCGAGAGCAAGCGGACCUCAUAAAGUGCGUCGUAGUCCGGAUUGGAGUCUGCAACUCGACUCCAUGAAGUCGGAAUCGCUAGUAAUCGUGGAUCAGAAUGCCACGGUGAAUACGUUCCCGGGCCUUGUACACACCGCCCGUCACACCAUGGGAGUGGGUUGCAAAAGAAGUAGGUAGCUUAACCUUCGGGAGGGCGCUUACCAUCGAUGGAUAC
This 1443-nucleotide ribosomal RNA is filed under the name Escherichia coli. Its description in RNAcentral is "partial 16S ribosomal RNA". The record is from RNAcentral. Lineage: Bacteria; Pseudomonadati; Pseudomonadota; Gammaproteobacteria; Enterobacterales; Enterobacteriaceae.